Long non-coding RNA from Ictalurus punctatus (channel catfish), 640 nucleotides. NCBI's taxonomy places the organism in Eukaryota, Metazoa, Chordata, Actinopteri, Siluriformes, Ictaluridae. The record is from Ensembl.
GUGUUUCUCUCUCUCUACUAUCCCUCCCUAUUGUCUUUCUCUUCUACAGUGUGUGUGUGUGUGUCUCUCUCUCUGGUGUCUCUCUCUGUGUCUCUUCUAGUGCCUUUCUCUAGUGUCUGUCAUGUCUCUCUCCCUAGUGUCUUCAUCUACUAUCCCUCACUCCCUCUAGUGUCUCCCUCUUUUUAAUGAUCUUCUAUAGUGUGUCUCUCUCUGGUAUCCCUCUCUGUGUCUCUUCUAUUGUCUCUCUCUAGUUGUCUUCAUCUACUAUCCCUCACUCCCUCUAGUGUCUCUCUCUUUUUAAUGAUCUUCUACAGUGUGUCUCUCUGGUACCUCUCUUUGUGUCUCUUCUAUUGUCUCUCUCUAGUGUCUCUCGUGUCUCUCUCAGUAGUGUCUUUCUCUACUAUCUCUCUCUAGUGUCUCUCAAUAGUGUCUUUCUCUACUAAUCUCUCUCUAGUGUUUCUCUUUAGUGUCUCUCUCUCUUUUUAGCGAUUUACUACAGUGUCUCUCUCAAUAUGGUCUUUCUCUACUAUCUCUCUCUAGUCUUUCCCUUUAGUGUCUCUCUUUUUAAAGAUUUACUACAGUGUCUCUCUCAAUAGUGUCUUUCUCUACUAUCUCUCUCUAGUGGUUCUCUUUAGUGUCU